AAAUUAUCUUAGCUGUUAAUUAUUAUAAUUUAAUUUACUAAAAAAAUACAAAAAUUGACAAAUUUAAUAAUAUUAUAUAUAAUUUAAUAAUAUUUUUAAUUUUUAUGUUCAAAAUUAUAUAUUUUUUUUAGAGAGAUAGAUAGCACGCUACCCGCUUCGUUUAUUUCAUUUAAAAAUAAACUUAGCUGGAAAUGUGAAUCAAUUAGAAUUCGAACUUGGGUCUCGGAUAUCAACCAUCAAGGCUUUUGCCACUUGCUCUAGGAACAGUCGGUAUGUCCAAAAUUAAUUAAUUCCAAAAAAUU
This 302-nucleotide long non-coding RNA is filed under the name Ananas comosus (pineapple). RNAcentral's name for it is "long non-coding RNA (ACOM_LNC004200)". Lineage: Eukaryota; Viridiplantae; Streptophyta; Magnoliopsida; Poales; Bromeliaceae. The record is from RNAcentral.